GAUGAACGCUGGCGGCGUGCCUAAUACAUGCAAGUCGAGCGAACGGACGAGAAGCUUGCUUCUCUGAUGUUAGCGGCGGGCGGGUGAGUAACACGUGGAUAACCUACCUAUAAGACUGGGAUAACUUCGGGAAACCGGAGCUAAUACCGGAUAAUAUUUUGAACCGCAUGGUUCACAAGUGAAAGACGGUCUUGCUGUCACUUAUAGAUGGAUCCGCGCUGCAUUAGCUAGUUGGUAAGGUAACGGCUUACCAAGGCAACGAUGCAUAGCCGACCUGAGAGGGUGAUCGGCCACACUGGAACUGAGACACGGUCCAGACUCCUACGGGAGGCAGCAGUAGGGAAUCUUCCGCAAAGGGCGAAAGCCUGACGGAGCAACGCCGCGUGAGUGAUGAAGGUCUUCGGAUCGUAAAACUCUGUUAUUAGGGAAGAACAUAUGUGUAAGUAACUGUGCACAUCUUGACGGUACCUAAUCAGAAAGCCACGGCUAACUACGUG
Molecule: ribosomal RNA, 497 nt
Filed under: uncultured bacterium
Lineage: Bacteria
Description: partial 16S ribosomal RNA
Rfam family: Bacterial small subunit ribosomal RNA
Source: RNAcentral